ACUCAAAUGAAUUGACGGGGGCCCGCACAAGCAGCGGAGCGUGUGGUUUAAUUCGAGGCUACACGAAGAACCUUACCUGGACUGGACAUGGUGGUAGUAGAAGGUGGAAACACCGACGACCUUCGGGAGCCACCACUGGUGCUGCAUGGCUGUCGUCAGCUCGUGCCGUGAGGUGUUAGGUUAAGUCCUGUAACGAGCGCAACCCCCGGUGCCAGUUAGAACGUCUGGCGCGACUGCCCGUGACAAACGGGAGGAAGGCGGGGAUGACGUCAAGUCAGCAUGGCCUGUAUGUCCAGGGCUACACACACGCUACAAUGGUCGGUACAAUGGGUCGCCAAGCCGCAAGGCGGAGCUAAUCCAGUCAAAGCCGGCCUCAGUUCAGAUUGUGGGCUGCAACCCGCCCACAUGAAGUCGGAGUUGCUAGUAACCGCGCGUCAGCCAUAGUGCGGUGAAUACGUUCCCGGGCCUUGUACACACCGCCCGU
Molecule: ribosomal RNA, 484 nt
Filed under: uncultured bacterium
Lineage: Bacteria
Description: partial 16S ribosomal RNA
Rfam family: Bacterial small subunit ribosomal RNA
Source: RNAcentral